Molecule: long non-coding RNA, 874 nt
Organism: Rosa chinensis
Lineage: Eukaryota; Viridiplantae; Streptophyta; Magnoliopsida; Rosales; Rosaceae
Exons: 4
Source: RefSeq, a predicted model, not a curated record
AAGAAAAUAAAACCAUUACUUGUUUAUUCCCUCCGCCUUAGUAUUACAUAUGAGCACCUUUAAAUAUUCACUGGGAUAGUACGUGUUGUUGGGCUGCGUUAGAUUUGAGGUUAGCUGACAAGUGACAACUAUCAGCAGCUACCUCUAUGGAGUAUUUGUUCCGAACUUCACACACAAAUAAUUGGGUUUGCUUCUGUAAGUUCUGGUUUGAUUAGCUACCUAUAUGCAAUGUUUUCAGGUUAGCUUUGCUAUGUUAAUUACAAGUACACAGACAAAUGGGGUUUGCUUGAAUUGGCGUCAGUCCAAAGUAUUGGGAACGUGGGACACCUUACCUGGCUGCCUAGAUCAUCUUUGAAUUUCUGUUCUUGAAUUUAUGUAGUGGUGCGACUUUGAAUUUCUGUUCUUGAAGAUGGUUACUGGGAAUUUUCUGUUUUGAGGAGGUGUUGAAAUCCACUUUCAGGAAUGCUGGAAAGGAGCAAAGAUCCUGCCGGAGUUUGACCUUUUGUCUACUGGAAUUGGUACUUGCUAGUAUAUCACUGUCAUAUGCUUGUUUGUUAGAAAUGCUCACAUAUGAUUCUGCUCAAAGAAUCACAGCGCGAAAAGUAAUGGAGCAUCCCUAUUUCAACCAAGAUGGCUUUGAGAUCGAGGUGGCAGUUCUGAAGAUUUUGUGGGAAUGUAAUUGGGAUACUGGGUUAUCCUUGGUUCCUAGUCACUUGGAAAUAGUUAGUAGUGUUACUGAAAUGGAGAUGGUUAAUACAGGAUGACCGAUUCAUCAACCUUGUCAUAGGAUUCUAAUUGCUUUUAAUCUUGCAUUGUUGUCCAAUGUGUGAACCAACAAACGCUUAUGUACUCUGGUUUUGGCUUUUAUAAAGUC